RNAcentral lists this unclassified non-coding RNA (211 nucleotides) under Hevea brasiliensis (rubber tree). The record is from RNAcentral. Lineage: Eukaryota; Viridiplantae; Streptophyta; Magnoliopsida; Malpighiales; Euphorbiaceae.
GGAGAGCUGAAGUAUGACUUAUAAGUCAAAAUAUCAGGCGAUGACGACCAGAUAAUAGUGAAUUCAACUACUUUCAAGUUUUCAGCGUCUAGAGUAACCUUAGCAAUUGAUGGUGGAUGAAAGGGUGACGCUCCCUCCACAUAAAAGCAAUGGUUCCCAAUAGUAAUAUUAUCAAUAUCUGAUAAGGGAAUAUCAAGAAGAGAUGGAGAGC